GCGAAAUUCCUUGUCGGGUAAGUUCCGACCUGCACGAAUGGCGUAACGACUUCCCCGCUGUCUCCAACAUAGACUCAGCGAAAUUGAAUUACCUGUCAAGAUGCAGGUUUCCCGCGGUUAGACGGAAAGACCCCGUGCACCUUUACUACAGCUUCACACUGGCAUUAGGCCGAACAUGUGCAGGAUAGGUGGUGGGCUUUGAAACUUCGACGCCAGUCGGAGUGGAGCCUCCCUUGAGAUACCACCCUUGUUCUGCUUGAUGUCUAACCGCGGUCCGUUAUCCGGAUCCGGGACCCUGUGUGGCGGGUAGUUUGACUGGGGCGGUCGCCUCCUAAAUCGUAACGGAGGCGCGCGAAGGUUGGC
RNAcentral lists this ribosomal RNA (363 nucleotides) under Oxyrrhis marina. Its description in RNAcentral is "partial Bacterial large subunit ribosomal RNA". It matches the Rfam family "Bacterial large subunit ribosomal RNA", at positions 1959 to 2321 of the family's 2925-position model. The record is from RNAcentral. Lineage: Eukaryota; Dinophyceae; Oxyrrhinales; Oxyrrhinaceae.